AUUACCUCACAGACGUGCUUGGUAACUUUAGCUAAACAAUAGAGCUCAUGUCGUGGUAAACUACACUAGACGACUGCAGAAUCCCCAGCGGUACUAUCAGCCGGUCGGGCGUCUACAUGCAGGCGUGAUUGGCCGAGUCCUACGAUGGAAACAAGACCCACCGGGACUCUGGCCAGGAUAAAGUGCAGUACCGUCCUCCGUCAGACUUCAUCAGCCCGUCGAUGCCGACCGUGAACCGCCCUCCGCCGUCGAACAGAGAGUACCGUCCCUUCUGCGCUCUCUUCAGGACCCCCGCGGACCGGACGAGGACGUCCCCGUCGCCACAGAGCUGCCUGCAGAAGUACUUGACGUUCGUCGUGGCCCACGAAUGCGUGCAGGUGAUGUUGAGCUGCUUGUUCUCCGUGCCUUG
Molecule: long non-coding RNA, 409 nt
Organism: Trichomycterus rosablanca
Lineage: Eukaryota; Metazoa; Chordata; Actinopteri; Siluriformes; Trichomycteridae
Exons: 3
Source: RefSeq, a predicted model, not a curated record